CCCCGCGGGAAGGCCGCGAGCCCCGGGAGCGGAGCAUGGAGGCCGAGGCCGCUCGCGCAGCCGCAGCAGGCAUUUAUCCAGUGGAUAUUUUGGAAGAUGACCCCGAAAGGCAUUGGAAAGCAGCCCUGGCUUACUAUACCACACUUAGGGAAGAAAUGCGGCCCCCAGUAGAGUUUUUCUCUCUUCCCACGGGGGAGCAGGUUAAACUUGAAGCUACAUCUGUUUGCUUUUGCACUGUGCACCGUGAUGAACCUCAACAUAAAAUAUUAGUCUUGGUUAAUCCACAGGACACAAAGACAGUGGUGGCUGUUUACAUAAAGGAGUUCUGGUGGCCCACCGAAGAUGUGCUAAGAACCUCUGAUCCUGCAAGAGAAGGUCUGAUGAAGGUUCAGUCAUUUGGGGAGAGGAUUGUGCUUUUCAUUCUGAACGUCGUUAUUUUUGGAAGAUUGGAGAGAAAUUUGGAUGAUGGUGACAUGUUUUUUUUACCUCACUCUGUGAAGGAGCAAGCAAAAAUUCUGUGGCAGGAUGGAGCAGCCGUUGGAUUUUACACAACCAAAAGGAAAGGCAGCCUGUGUGGUGAUGGCACGGGUGCAUGCUACCUGCUGCCGGUCUUCGACACUGUGUUUGUCAGGAGGACUUACCGUCGCCAAGGCCUGGGCAUGGCCAUGCUGCAGGACUUUUGUGAGACAUUCCGAGAGGAUGAGGCCCUGGGUGUCAGUUGGCCAAUUUCUCCUGCCAUGUACCAAGUCUGCAGGAAGUUCCUGGCGGCCCAUCCGGAGGAGCGGGGGCGCCUGUGGGAGGUGCAGCCCCCGGGAGCCUGGGGCCAGCGAGGCAGCAUCUGGCUGAAGGUUCAGCGGCAGCAGGCCCAGCUUCCAGACUAUCUCCCCCGAUGCAGCUGAGUCAGAAGCUCCCUGGGACGGAGGGGCUCCCCGUUUAUAACUAGACGGGAUCUCUGAACCGUGGAAGGAGAGUAACGUGUGCCCCUGCUUAAAGAUUGGUGAAGCCACCAAAGGGUUUACUGUGAAGCGCAAGCUUUCCAUGCCCGCCCUUCCCUUGUGGGAGAUGACACGCAUGCAUAGCGGUGGUGUUGCAUAGAUAGCAUUCUGCAAAGGAGUGCCUUGUCCUUCCUGUCCUUUUUUUUUUUUUUUUUUAAGAUUUUCUUUAUUUACGAGAGACACAUAGAGGCAGAGGGAGAAACAGGCUUCCUGCAGGGAGGGUGAUGCCGGACUUGAUCCCAGGACCCCAGGAUCAAGGCCUGAGCCAUAGACAGAGGCUCAACUGCUGAGCCACCCAGGUGUCCCCUUUCUGUCCUUUUUAUUGGCAGCAUAGUAUGCUGCUGUGUGGAGAUGUUGUUGAUUUGGGCAGCCCCUCUUACAGACACAUUGUCCUCAGUUUGGGGUUUUGUCCUCAGUUAGAGCCCCACCGUGAGUUUGCAGGGAUUUUGAUGGAGGGUCCUAAUGGGAGGCAACAGGUGGGAAGACCAGAUGCAGUUGUGUCUGAUUCUCCAAGUUGCUUUUCAACAGCGUGCCUUCCACCUCUUCCACGUGGGUGAUUUGGACUGCACAUUGUUGGUGGUUCUCAGCCCCCUGCUCAUGGCGAGGGCCCCUGGGGACAAGGCUGCAGGUGCCGUGUAUGGGUGGGAGGCGCGGGAGGGUCUCACAGUUUAAGUUCACUGGCCAAAGUGAAAAGCGCUGGCUUUUCUUUUCUUCCCUCCUGGGAAAGAAAGCUCCUGUCAGCAUGAAAUGCCAUUUCCCAGGCUGCAGGUAGCUCAUUAGGGGACAGUGGAUAACUGAUUUACUUUAGGUCGUGACAGGGAAGAAAGAGCGCCUUGGAGUUUAUUGAUGGUAACAGUGAUAGGUUUUGCUUUUAUGGUGCCUUUCAGCUAGAAGGUUUAAUGGAUCUUUACAGAUAUUAAUGGGGUGACCAGGCACCUGGGAAAGAGGCCACUGGCAGGGCUGUGACUGUGAUCCUAAUGAGGCGGUUAAGUGACUUGCCCUGUGGCAUCCACAGUUAGAAAUGAAGGGGGAGCUGGCCCGGAUCCCCACUCAGUAAGCUCAACGGGUUUAUCGAGGAGCUUCACAAAUGAGCCUGCAGCUCCCACGUGGACGAGGCCUUUGUGUCUUGGACGUUACAGUUCCUUGGCUGGGAAUGAAAAAAGAAAAAAGAUUUGCAUAUCAGAAUGUGGAAAUAAUAUGGAAAUUGCACAGGCCAGAGGGGGGCAAGCAGGGGGAGGAUGUUUUGGCAUAAUGGGGGAGACUGCUUUCCUCGGAGAAUUCCUCUGGGGGUUAUUUCAAGAGCUGAAAGUUGGUGUGGUCUGGUCACAGGAAACUGAGCUGGGAGUCAGAUGCCAGACCUGUCACUUUAACUCACUGUGAGAUUUGCCAACUCUCUCUUUAAAACAGCAAAUGAGGGGACUUUCACAGAGAAUGUUCCAGAAGCAUGCUUUGAGUCUUUUGAAGAAAGAAGGGUCAUCAUUAUAAUUAGGAUAUAAUUAGAUUACUGAAACUAUAUAAUUAAAAAAAAAAUCUAAAUUAUGGUCUUUUCACUCCUUGUAUAAAUCAUAGCUAGUUCCCAGUUUCACCCACAACUUCUGUCUCCCCCCAGGGCCAGCACUCAGGAUUUUAAUUCACUUGGGAAGGUUUUCAGCCAGCCAGCUUCAUCCUGUAACAAUUUUGUCAGCACUGACAUUUCAGGUUUUUUUCCGGGUUGGUGAGUGGGGGCUGCAAAUGCAAUCACAGAUUUGCCCAGAUGCUCUGCAGUGUCUCAGUUUUUAGUCUCUGCCUUCAUGGAAAUCUGCAAGUGUUAGCCCAUUAGGUUUUCCCACAGGUCACCAAACAGUGUAGGUUCUGGAAUCUUAUCUUGCCUGGAAAUCUCACACAGCCAUUUAUUUAUUUAAUUAAAGAUUUUAUUUAUUUUUAUUUGAGAGACAGCGAGAAAGAGAGGAUGAGUGAGGAAGAGAAGCAGAGGGAGAAGCAGACUCCCUGCUGCGCAGGGAGUCCAUUGCAGGGCUCAAUCCCAGGACUCCAGGAUCAUGACCCAAGCUGAAGGCAAAUGCUUAACUGAUUAACCAACUCAACCACCCAGGCAUCCCUAACAUAGCCAUUUAAUUUAAUUUUAGUUUUUAAUCAGUCUGUUAUUCUUAGAGUUGCUUUCUUGAAUUGUUCUGUUUUUCAAGUUCUAUCUUUUGUUCCUUUAUUUCUGACUGUUAUUUUGGAGGUUUCCUACAAUUUCAUGUGCUGUAGAAAUAGAACUGUAAGCAAGAAGCCCAGCAGAGCCAGUUGCUUUUUACAUUCUAAGUAAGGCAUGGACAUUUUACAUCAUUCCAAAGGGAAAUUAACUUGUGCUCUUUUCAAAAGUUUCGAAACCUAUUUUUGAGGCAGAGUCCUUUAUGGACUAGGUCUUUUAAAGUUUGCAUGGAUCUUGCCUGUUGAUAACAUCUGUGGCUUAUAAUGGCCCUGAAAAUAUUUACAGGGUUUUCAGAACUUUUGAGAGAAGGAGUUUGUGGGAAAGUUUUUUCUUCCUACACUCAGUUACAUAUGAAGCCUUUGAAACUUGACCAAUAGGAUCAUAAUUCUAUCUAGUGUGACUUCUCAUUUAGCUUGCACAUGCUUUAGGUUUUUGUAGUGGAGGAGAUGAAAUUGAAUGCUCCAACAGUGGAAAGUUACAAAAAUGUGGCUGGAGGCAGGAAGUAAUUGCACACAGCUUUAAAAAUUAAUUUUUUCAUUCCUUAGGUUAUAGUUUUGCUUUUUUUCCAGGUGGAUGUUUAAUAUAUUCAAUCAUCAUCCGUAGGGAAAAUAAUUUUCUUCUAUUUACAUUUAAUUUAUAAUGCUAGAGUGUACAUAAAAAUAUGUGAAAUAUAUGAGCUGGGGAGGUGGGGUCAUUUUUCUAAAAGUGUGAAUCUUAGCAAACUGCAGCUCUAGCCUCAUCUCACCUUGUUCUGAUGAUGAGUUGGACAUUAUACAGUGCAGUAGUAAUAGCAGUUUUAUGGCAAUGAGCUGUGGUGGGGAAGUGCUGAGAGGAGAACCACCAUACUGGAUGGGUUUUUCCUAAUGCUGCUCUUUUGAAAGGUUGUGUGGCUCCCUCUCGUGGCUAUUGUCAUCUACUGCGUCCUGGAUGGCAACUCCUGGAUGGUAACUUACUUUGACCCACCUGUGUGGUUGCUUCUCAGAGUCUUAUCCUGGUGCUUCCAAAUUAGAGCAUUCAUUUUUAAAAAUUAUUGAACCUUUAUUGGUUAGGAAUAAAAUAUGAGCAAGUAUUUGGUAGUUUCUAUCAUGCUUUAGUCCAUACCACGUAAACACAUAGACUUACACAUCAGGAAGGGUAGGAAAUAAGGGAUUGUCUACUUCAUUCUCUCAUUCAUUCUUUCAUUCAUACGUUCACGUAUUUUCUCAUUCAUUCAAUAGAUUACUAUAAUGUUGGAUCUACCAGUGCUGGGCCAGUGGAAAAGGUGAUAAGGAUACUGAGGCUGACUGAGUCUGAACUCAUUUAGAGUUUGCAUUUUUACAGAGAAGUAUGUGGGCAAUGUGGGCAACCAUUACUGCAUUAUAUAGAAACUCUGAGAGAGCACUAAAGUAUGCUGGUAUUUUUAAAUGCUUAUGAUUCAGUUUUGCCAAACCAAAGUUGGCUAAUUCAUAAAGUCUAUAAAUAGAUUUUAAAAUUUAUGUAUAUAGGUAACAACUAAAUAAUAUAUUCUUAUUUGAAAAGUGUGUUUCUUAUUUUUUUUUUUUUAAGUGUGUUCCAUGCCCAGCAUGGAACUUACCACUCUGAGAUCAAGACCUGAGCUGAGAUCAACAGUCAGAUGCCUAACCAACUGAGCCACCCGGGUGCCCUGAAAAAUGUGUUUCAUUUACAUUUUUGGCUCAAAUGGAAAACUGAAUAUUUUUUUCCUAAAGGAUCUGAACACUCUUCCAACACACACACACACACACACACACACACACACAUCCACACAUGGAUUUUGGGGCCUAGGGAAGUACACAGUGGGAUAAGAAAAUCAUCCCUUUCCAAGUUGGGGCUGAUUUGGUAAGAGGGAGUGGGGGGCUGAAUUUAAAAGUGUGAUUAUGGGCUCUCUUUCAAGUAAAAAUUCUAGUGAGCAAAGGAAUAUAACUAGAAACUGACUCCAUUUAACAUCUGAAUAAUUGGAAGAAAAGAUCAAAUUCCAGAUCAGAAACCCUUGAGUAGAGCCAUCACUUCACGUCUGCCCAAACCUGGCAGGUUUCCCUGUCCUCCGGAGGGUGCUGUAGCAGAUAGCACAGUGAAAGUCAAUAAGAUGGAAUUGGGUUGUGGUGAUCAGUGCUUUUGGAGGGGUCCCAAGUGUAUUAUUAAUCUUUCGAUUGUCCACUCCCUUGGAACCACCCCUGUUUGCUUAUCCUGCUUUCUUGGUUGGGGAGGGCAGCUCACCCAGGAAAUUCCAAGGAGGACAUGAGCCAUCAUGGGCGGACUUCUCCAGAUGAUGGGCCCAGACCAUCUCAAGAUGACAAGAAGGAGAGGACCAGCGGAGAACUGGAACAGACAAAGAGUGAUCAAGACUGCGGAGUGAAA
RNA transcript from Nyctereutes procyonoides (raccoon dog), 5541 nucleotides. It is a transcript of the gene named protein FAM169B-like, with no coding region annotated. The record is from RefSeq and is a predicted model, not a curated record. The transcript has 9 exons. Lineage: Eukaryota; Metazoa; Chordata; Mammalia; Carnivora; Canidae.